GGGCGGGGAACGGUCCCCUCAGAGAGGGACGGGCGCGAUGGUGGUGGGACCGUCCGUGAGGGAGCGGCGGGACAGCGAGGGGUGGCAGGAGGCGCGCGGGCCCCUCAGCGGGGACAGCCCUCAGCGAGGGGCCGGGUGCGGGGUUCCCGGGCUGCCCCCGCCACCGCCCUCCCCUCCGGCUGACACUUGUCGUGCGCAGACAACACGCACUGUACCAAACAAUCCAGCCCGAGCCCUGCUGCAAACUCGCCGCGUUAUUUUUCUCCUCCGCUUGUUUAUGGCUGACGCUAUCUCGCCUGCACCGCUCCCUCGGUUUCAUUAUCUCUGCUCGCAGAUGGCCCGUGGCUUUCCCUCCUUCGCGGGGUUUGUGCUCGUGGUACAGCUCCAUCUCCCCCUCCCAGCUCUCUGUCCCUCACCCUUGCUCACAGGUGAUGCUCCCAAAUUGCUCCCACCUCGUCCCUCUCAGCCCCUCAUCUCCAGCCCCAGUUCUUCCUGCUGUGGCUUCUGCUUCCCUGAAUCCCAUUUACGGGUUUCCAGGUGAGCCUUUCCCAGAAAAGCACUUCACUCCAGCAGUCCUGCGUUCUGCAGUGCCUCUUCCCAAACAGAUGAGGAAUUUAUUUAAUCUGGAGGAUUAAAGAAGUGCUACAACUUCCAAGGAUUCAAAGACGCGGUGGAAAAAGUGACCUCAUUGGCAAAGACUUUAAGGUUUCUAGGAAGAAGAGGGAGUUGCUGUGGCAUUUUUGCGACUUGAUCCCUCGUCUCGGUUGAUCCGCAAUGGAAAGGUGACCCCGAGCCCGGCCGAGCUGGGAAUGGAUCUGGUGAGAGCCAUCGCUGUCUGAGCCAAGCAGAGUGUUCCCAAAUGCAUCCCUGAAUAGACUCACUUGCUCUUUUCCUGGCUCUAUUUUAACCACAGAUCUGUCAUUCUGCCCUGUGGGUGCCAGAAUUAAAAAAACCCCAAUAACAGAACUCAGUAA
Molecule: long non-coding RNA, 974 nt
Organism: Pipra filicauda (Wire-tailed manakin)
Lineage: Eukaryota; Metazoa; Chordata; Aves; Passeriformes; Pipridae
Exons: 3
Source: RefSeq, a predicted model, not a curated record